Molecule: ribosomal RNA, 497 nt
Filed under: uncultured bacterium
Lineage: Bacteria
Description: partial 16S ribosomal RNA
Rfam family: Bacterial small subunit ribosomal RNA
Source: RNAcentral
GACGAACGCUGGCGGCGUGCCUAAUACAUGCCAGUUGAGCGCUGAAGGUUGGUACUUGUACCAACUGGAUGAGCAGCGAACGGGUGAGUAACGCGUGGGGAAUCUGCCUUUGAGCGGGGGACAACAUUUGGAAACGAAUGCUAAUACCGCAUAAAAACUUUAAACACAAGUUUUAAGUUUGAAAGAUGCAAUUGCAUCACUCAAAGAUGAUCCCGCGUUGUAUUAGCUAGUUGGUGAGGUAAAGGCUCACCAAGGCGAUGAUACAUAGCCGACCUGAGAUGGUGAUCGGCCACAUUGGGACUGAGACACGGCCCAAACUCCUACGGGAGGCAGCAGUAGGGAAUCUUCGGCAAUGGACGAAAGUCUGACCGAGCAACGCCGCGUGAGUGAAGAAGGUUUUCGGAUCGUAAAACUCUGUUGGUAGAGAAGAACGUUGGUGAGAGUGGAAAGCUCAUCAAGUGACGGUAACUACCCAGAAAGGGACGGCUAACUACGUG